UUCAAAAAGCAGGAACAGGCUAAUGAAGGAUAAUCAGCUCCGCAUUGUGGAGACCUCUAUUUCUUACCCCGUCCCUCAUUAUUUCUUUUGUAGACACGUCAGUGUACUGCGUGGCGGGCCUACAUCAGAAUUGUGCCUUACUGCAGGUCAGACUCACACACGGGCGACAUGCUGCUACUUGUGUCUCGUGGAGCGCCCACAUCGUCGGACACUUUCCACACUUGCCCACACACCACGACUGGAUGCGUGUACUUGGUGUGUAUUGGCCAGAGGACAAAACACAGGAAGCUGUGAUGGAUUUGAUGCCUGUCUGAAGUGUGGAUAAAUCUGGAACAGAGUGGGAUGAAGAUAACAAGGGGACCGGAGCAAGGAGGAAGGAAGUUUUCCCGUGGUAUCACACAAGAGACUACUCUUCCACAGGAGGAAAAAUGAAGCGAAUAAAUAAAGAGAAAAUCGAAUUCCUUCAGCCGUUGCAGGAGUGCCAGCCAAUGAAUCAGCAGAAUAAAUUCUCUCCAGAGAUAAACAAACAUGAUAUUUCAGCCGGGAGCCAUAGGACGGAAGGGCCUCUGUCGCUCUCGUAAAGUUCAGAGCGCUUCGGACCGUAAAAGAAGCCGCCUUCUCAAUCAGGGAAGCCUCUGGCACGAAGGCCUUUUACAACUAAAGCUGUGUGAUGAAAACCCACGGAAAAGCUCACACGCAUGCCCUUGACAAGGACUUUAACGCCGCAGAUAUACGGCCUCAUAUGGAAAACCAUUAAAGUGGGAUUCUGAAGCACAAGUGUCUCCCAACACACUGUCAACACACUAAGUGCUUGUAGUCUUGAUUUACACAUCUGCGAGCUGCACCGUGUCCUGCGUGCUGUAAUAAUAAAAACAUGCAGCUGUAUCCUGAUAGAAAACAUGCCUUCAACUACGAAGCUUUUACUGGCUUGAUUUCCAGUUUUCUUUCAUUCGUAUUUGCAAACACCCAGCGGUGAUUUUAGUGUCUACGCUUCGGUGAUGGAACCCGCACGUCACUGUGAAUAGCGAGAC
Molecule: long non-coding RNA, 1031 nt
Organism: Oreochromis niloticus (Nile tilapia)
Lineage: Eukaryota; Metazoa; Chordata; Actinopteri; Cichliformes; Cichlidae
Exons: 4
Source: RefSeq, a predicted model, not a curated record